GACAGAGGUCCCGAGCGUUAGGCGGAAUCACUGGGCUUAAAGCGUGUGUAGGCGGAUCGUUAAGUACCUUGUGAAAUCCCACGGCUCAACCGUGGAACUGCUUGGUAUACUGGAUGUCUUGAGCCAUCUAGGGGCUACCGGAACAAAUGGUGGAGCGGUGAAAUGCGUAGAUAUCAUUUGGAACGCCAAUGGUGAAAACAGGUAGCUGGGGAUGUGCUGACGCUGAGACACGAAAGCCAGGGGAGCAAACGGG
RNAcentral lists this ribosomal RNA (253 nucleotides) under uncultured bacterium. Its description in RNAcentral is "partial 16S ribosomal RNA". It matches the Rfam family "Bacterial small subunit ribosomal RNA", at positions 524 to 776 of the family's 1533-position model. The record is from RNAcentral.